AUGAGAGUCACAGCAAAACUUGUUUGUGUGAAAAUGAACAUGGCCUCAGGUUUCUGUAAGGCAAUGUUGGAACAAGAAGUCAGCAGAAUGCAGAGCAGCAGCAUGCAUAUUCAUUGUGAGUACAUGAGGCUCACUCUGAGAUCCUGAAAUAAAAACUCUCUGAUAUA
Long non-coding RNA from Lacerta agilis (Sand lizard), 167 nucleotides. RefSeq lists it as uncharacterized. NCBI's taxonomy places the organism in Eukaryota, Metazoa, Chordata, Lepidosauria, Squamata, Lacertidae. The transcript is spliced from 2 exons. The record is from RefSeq and is a predicted model, not a curated record.